Molecule: long non-coding RNA, 723 nt
Filed under: Mus musculus (house mouse)
Lineage: Eukaryota; Metazoa; Chordata; Mammalia; Rodentia; Muridae
Description: predicted gene, 47593
Source: RNAcentral
AUCUGGUGCCCUGUCUCCGCUGAUUGCAGCAUUUCUAUGAAUCACUGCCACAUCUGGGCCUUAGCAUCCUUGCUGUAGAGGGACCACCCCCAUCCACCUGCAUCUCGUGAAACUACCCAGGGGAAGGACCACGGAAGAGGGACGCUGCAGGGGAGGUUUUUACUGAUGUUUCUCUGAGUCACAGUUUCAUGUGUCUUGAGCUUACUACGUAGCUGAAGAUGGCCUUGAACUUGGAUCCUUCUGUGUCCCCCCUCAAGUGGUGGGAUCGCAAGAGUACACCACAAGGCUUGAAUUACUAAGCGAACACUCUCCACACUGAGCUACAUCCCAGCACAUCAGCUGCUGCUUAAUUGACCAUCUGCCUGUUUCAAGUGUUCCUUCAGGUGUGGAGGCCACCCCUAGACCUUAGAGCAGGGUAAUUCUCAACACUUGGGUCUUGUCUCACCCACUUGGGAGCAGAACAACCCUUUCAACAGGGGUCACAUAUCAGAUAUUGACAUUGUGACAUACAACACUAGCAGAUUUAGUUACUUUUUUACGGUUGGGGUCACCACAACAUGAGGAACUGUAUUAAAGGGCCGUAGUGUUAGGAAGGUUGAGAACCAAUGAGAGCAAGACGAUGCUCUCUCAAACCCCAGAGUGGUUAUCUCUGCACCCUACCAGAGUGGCUCCCCUUCCUGCCCCAGGUCUCUGUACUUGAGGCUGAGGGGUCUAGGCAGGCCC